This 497-nucleotide ribosomal RNA is filed under the name uncultured bacterium. Its description in RNAcentral is "partial 16S ribosomal RNA". It matches the Rfam family "Bacterial small subunit ribosomal RNA", at positions 28 to 507 of the family's 1533-position model. The record is from RNAcentral.
GAUGAACGCUGGCGGCGUGCCUAAUACAUGCAAGUCGAGCGAACGGACGAGAAGCUUGCUUCUCUGAUGUUAGCGGCGGACGGGUGAGUAACACGUGGAUACCCUACCUAUAAGACUGGGAUAACUUCGGGAAACCGGAGCUAAUACCGGAUAAUAUUUUGAACCGCAUGGUUCAAAAGUGAAAGACGGUCUUGCUGUCACUUAUAGAUGGAUCCGCGCUGCAUUAGCUAGUUGGUAAGGUAACGGCUUACCAAGGCAACGAUGCAUAGCCGACCUGAGAGGGGGAUCGGCCACACUGGAACUGAGACACGGUCCAGACUCCUACGGGAGGCAGCAGUCGGGAACCUUCCGCAAUGGGCGAAAGCCUGACGGAGCAACGCCGCGCGAGUGAUGAAGGUCUUCGGAUCGUAAAACUCUGUUAUUAGGGAAGAACAUAUGUGUAAGUAACUGUGCACAUCUUGACGGUACCUAAUCAGAAAGCCACGGCUAACUACGUG